RNAcentral lists this long non-coding RNA (641 nucleotides) under Hordeum vulgare. RNAcentral describes it as "long non-coding RNA (HVUL_LNC008490)". The record is from RNAcentral. Lineage: Eukaryota; Viridiplantae; Streptophyta; Magnoliopsida; Poales; Poaceae.
AAUGACACAUGGCUUGAUGCCUACCAUUUUCUACAAGAUGUACGUAGUCAUCGACAGAGAAGAGACGAACAUGAUGACAUGAUGAGUUUUCAAGGCCCUCUCACUUGCCUGCCACUCGCACGAGGACAUAGCCAAAGCACAAUAUGCUAGUGUCCUUGUAUAAACCACACACACGUGCCUCACACAAAUUUAAAGCGUCACAAAACUAUUCAUAUAACAUAAAAUGCAGUCUAUGUAGGAAUAUAAAAAAUAGAAUUGUUCGUAAAACAUCCGAUGAUUACAUGCUACUACAAGCAUGUCCAUCACAUAUAGAACAGACCCACAUGAUGAGUCGGGUCCAUGUUUGACAAGCUACUGAAUUUUUCUCAUUCACAUUGUAAGAUGGUAUGAUGCCCGCCCUUUAAAAACCUUUAACUUCUACAUGUAGGUAUUGAAAGUCUCGAAGAUCCUUGAAUGGUAGUACUUGUUUGCUUCUACUCUCAACACAAUGCAAAGUCAACUAUUGUAUUGUUUGACACGUAAUGACAUGGUUUAUUCUCGAGGCCUCUCAUUCCUAAACAGUGUAAUGUGGUUGAACUUUCAACAUGCAACGAUGAGUGGGUGGAGGAAGAGAGAUCAUCUUAACCAAAGCUACCUAGUCG